This is a non-coding RNA of Trichomonas vaginalis G3, 1074 nucleotides long. NCBI's taxonomy places the organism in Eukaryota, Parabasalia, Trichomonadida, Trichomonadidae. The record is from Rfam.
UGGAGGAAAGUUGACCUCAUCAGAGGCACGCCAUUCGACUGAGUGACCUAUCAGCUUGUACUUAGGGUCUUUACCUAGGUAGGCUAUCACGGGUAACGGGCGGUUACCGUCGGACUGCCGGAGAAGGCGCCUGAGAGAUAGCGACUAUAUCCACGGGUAGCAGCAGGCGCGAAACUUUCCCACUCGAGACUUUCGGAGGAGGUAAUGACCAGUUCCAUUGGUGCCUUUUGGUACUGUGGAUAGGGGUACGGUUUUCCACCGUACCGAAACCUAGCAGAGGGCCAGUCUGGUGCCAGCAGCUGCGGUAAUUCCAGCUCUGCGAGUUUGCUCCCAUAUUGUUGCAGUUAAAACGCCCGUAGUCUGAAUUGGCCAGCAAUGGUCGUACGUAUUUUUACGUUCACUGUGAACAAAUCAGGACGCUUAGAGUAUGGCCACAUGAAUGACUCAGCGCAGUAUGAAGUCUUUGUUUUCUUCCGAAAACAAGCUCAAUGAGAGCCAUCGGGGGUAGAUCUAUCUCAUGACGAGUGGUGGAAUACUUUGACUCAUGAGAGAGAAGCUGAGGCGAAGGCGUCUACCUAGAGGGUUUCUGUCGAUCAAGGGCGAGAGUAGGAGUAUCCAACAGGAUUAGAGACCCUGGUAGUUCCUACCUUAAACGAUGCCGACAGGAGUUUGUCAUUUGUUAAUGGCAGAAUCUUUGGAGAAAUCAUAGUUCUUGGGCUCUGGGGGAACUACGACCGCAAGGCUGAAACUUGAAGGAAUUGACGGAAGGGCACACCAGGGGUGGAGCCUGUGGCUUAAUUUGAAUCAACACGGGGAAACUUACCAGGACCAGAUGUUUUUUAUGACUGACAGGCUUCGGGUCUUUCACGAUAUUGUUUUUGGUGGUGCAUGGCCGUUGGUGGUGCGUGGGUUGACCUGUCUAGCGUUGAUUCAGCUAACGAGCGAGAUUAUCGCCAAUUAUUUACUUUGCCGAAGUCUUCGGUUAAAGUUCUAAUUGGGACUCCCUGCGAUUUUAGCAGUGAGAGGUAGCAAUACAGUCGUGAUGCCUUUAGAUGCUCUGGCUGCACGCGUGCU